RNAcentral lists this ribosomal RNA (427 nucleotides) under uncultured bacterium. RNAcentral's name for it is "bacterial SSU rRNA". It matches the Rfam family "Bacterial small subunit ribosomal RNA", at positions 355 to 774 of the family's 1533-position model. The record is from RNAcentral.
UGGGGAAUAUUGGACAAUGGGGGAAACCCUGAUCCAGCCAUCCCGCGUGUGCGAUGAAGGCCUUCGGGUUGUAAAGCACUUUUGGCAGGAAAGAAACGUCGCGGGUUAAUACCCCGCGGAACUGACGGUACCUGCAGAAUAAGCACCGGCUAACUACGUGCCAGCAGCCGCGGUAAUACGUAGGGUGCAAGCGUUAAUCGGAAUUACUGGGCGUAAAGCGUGCGCAGGCGGUUCGGAAAGAAAGAUGUGAAAUCCCAGAGCUUAACUUUGGAACUGCAUUUUUAACUACCGGGCUAGAGUGUGUCAGAGGGAGGUGGAAUUCCGCGUGUAGCAGUGAAAUGCGUAGAUAUGCGGAGGAACACCGAUGGCGAAGGCAGCCUCCUGGGAUAACACCGACGCUCAUGCACGAAAGCGUGGGGAGCAAACA